AACCUCCCAGGACCGCGUCUGGAGAAUGGCUUGUCUUCUGCCAGCUUCGGAGACAGGAGAGAAAACAAGCCUGGCAGAGGUGCCCAUUCUGUUCCCAGCUUGCUCUGUAGCUGUGAUUGGAGGACUCUCUGCAACAGUG
Small nucleolar RNA from Sorex araneus (European shrew), 139 nucleotides. The record is from RefSeq and is a predicted model, not a curated record. NCBI's taxonomy places the organism in Eukaryota, Metazoa, Chordata, Mammalia, Eulipotyphla, Soricidae.